UGCCCGAUAGUAUAACGGUAGUACGACAGACUCUGACUCUGUUUGUCUUGGUUCGAAUCCAGGUCGGGCAACAA
Molecule: transfer RNA, 74 nt
Filed under: Chitinophaga rupis
Lineage: Bacteria; Pseudomonadati; Bacteroidota; Chitinophagia; Chitinophagales; Chitinophagaceae
Also listed under: 1 other name
Description: tRNA_Gln_CTG
Rfam family: tRNA
About the family: Transfer RNA (tRNA) molecules are approximately 80 nucleotides in length.
Source: RNAcentral